AGUGGAAUAUCUGGAUUGUAUGGUAGAGGUAAAUGUUUAUCUUCUAAAGAAACUGCAGAACUGCUUUCUGAAGUGUUUGUAUUAUUUUACAUUUCUGUUGGUAGU
Molecule: microRNA precursor, 105 nt
Filed under: Marmota monax (woodchuck)
Lineage: Eukaryota; Metazoa; Chordata; Mammalia; Rodentia; Sciuridae
Source: RNAcentral